GAUGAACGCUGGCGGCGUGCCUAAUACAUGCAAGUCGAGCGAACAGACGAGGAGCUUGCUCCUUUGACGUUAGCGGCGGACGGGUGAGUAACACGUGGAUAACCUACCUAUAAGACUGGGAUAACUUCGGGAAACCGGAGCUAAUACCGGAUAACAUGUUGAACCGCAUGGUUCAACAGUGAAAGACGGUCUUGCUGUCACUUAUAGAUGGAUCCGCGCCGCAUUAGCUAGUUGGUAAGGUAACGGCUUACCAAGGCAACGAUGCGUAGCCGACCUGAGAGGGUGAUCGGCCACACUGGAACUGAGACACGGUCCAGACUCCUACGGGAGGCAGCAGUAGGGAAUCUUCCGCAAUGGGCGAAAGCCUGACGGAGCAACGCCGCGUGAGUGAAGAAGGUCUUCGGAUCGUAAAACUCUGUUAUUAGGGAAGAACAAAUGUGUAAGUAACUAUGCAUGUCUUGACGGUACCUAAUCAGAAAGCCACGGCUAACUACGUG
RNAcentral lists this ribosomal RNA (497 nucleotides) under uncultured bacterium. RNAcentral describes it as "partial 16S ribosomal RNA". It matches the Rfam family "Bacterial small subunit ribosomal RNA", at positions 28 to 507 of the family's 1533-position model. The record is from RNAcentral.